GGAUGUGAGGGCGAUCUGGCUGCGACAUCUGUCACCCCAUUGAUCGCCAGGGUUGAUUCGGCUGAUCUGGCUGGCUAGGCGGGUGUCCCCUUCCUCCCUCACCGCUCCAUGUGCGUCCCUCCCGAAGCUGCGCGCUCGGUCGAAGAGGACGACCUUCCCCGAUAGAGGCGGUACCGUUCUUCGGUCAAGGGUAUACGAGUAGCUGCGCUCCCCUGCUAGAACAAGCUCCCAAGGUCCAUUUGUAGGAGAACGUAGGGUAGUCAAGCUUCCAAGACUCCAGACACAUCCAAAUGAGGCGCUGCACGUGGCAGUCUGCCUUCCUUU
This 324-nucleotide small nuclear RNA is filed under the name Notamacropus eugenii (tammar wallaby). RNAcentral describes it as "7SK RNA (ENSMEUG00000017485.1)". It matches the Rfam family "7SK RNA". From Rfam's summary of the family: 7SK was discovered as an abundant small nuclear RNA in the mid-70s but a possible function has only recently been suggested. Two independent studies have found that 7SK RNA binds the CDK9/cyclin T complex (known as elongation factor P-TEFb). P-TEFb activates transcription by phosphorylating the C-terminal domain of RNA polymerase II. Lineage: Eukaryota; Metazoa; Chordata; Mammalia; Diprotodontia; Macropodidae. The record is from RNAcentral.